CCCCUCCAUGCUGCCUGUGGGAUGCACGCAUGCUACCCUCCCCCAGCAGUGGUACCAAGCCUCGGGCAGCAGCAGGCAGGGGUAUGCUGGCCCGAGUUCACGGCCGAGUUCUGAAGACAGAAGGUAAAUGACCUGCUUAAGGUCAACACUGGUGGUGCCUGAGCCGGGACUGACACCUGUGGUUUCUGACCUCCAAGACAUGGCUCACGCCCCUUCCUUGUGACACUUUUCUGAGUGGACUGAGGAUGCCCUGGCCAGCUACUUUUGGAGGAGACUGGAAUGUCUGAGAGCCAGAUUUCCUAGCUGCAAAUGGGUACUAAAAAGUCCCAACAGAAAGAUGGAGGGAAAAAGGUGACUCCAACUGCAAUGCCAAAGAAUAAAGUGCCACCACUUUUGUCCACCAAUCC
Long non-coding RNA from Neogale vison (American mink), 407 nucleotides. RefSeq lists it as uncharacterized. The record is from RefSeq and is a predicted model, not a curated record. NCBI's taxonomy places the organism in Eukaryota, Metazoa, Chordata, Mammalia, Carnivora, Mustelidae. The transcript has 3 exons.